AUCCAGCUGACGAGUCCUAAACAGGAAAAAACGCGCGUCCUGGAU
Molecule: non-coding RNA, 45 nt
Filed under: Schistosoma mansoni
Lineage: Eukaryota; Metazoa; Platyhelminthes; Trematoda; Strigeidida; Schistosomatidae
Source: RNAcentral